AAAUGUUUUAUUUCGUAAAAUAAUUAAUUUUACUUGAAAUAAUUCGUGUAUGUGACCAUCGUGUAUGUGAUCAUCGUGCACAAAUUGGAAAAAAAAAAUUAUUUUAUGUGAUCAUCGUGCACAAAUUGGAAAAAAAAAAAAAAAGAGAGAGAGAGAAAGGGAGAAAGAAAUAAGAGAAGAGAGCGUCGCUGUUCUUCCUCUCCGGUAACGGCGCGUCGUCGUCAGUACUGUGAGAGGCUUGUAAGAUAGUUUGUUGCUUUUGCUUCGGUUUCUUCCAUGAGCCCAGCGGUGUUUGUUUAGGUCAUCUUUGUGUUAAAGGAUGUUGCUAAGGAAUUUUCAGAUCGGAUCUCGUCGGCUUCUCUAUCGGUGGAUCUCUUCAAAUCAUGAGCUCGUCGUCUCGUCCUAGUCUCUUUGUAGUUGUGAGUAUCUCAAUAAUCGCAGCUCUUCCUCUUGGUUUCUCUUGUUGGUGGUGCUGCGAAGCCGGUUCUAAUGGUUGAGGGAGUGGUGUUGGUUCUCGAUGUGGCUUGUGGUCUGGUUCUGAUUCUUCUACAGUUAGUAAUUCAUUCCUUUGACUGUUCGUGGUGACCUGCGUUGUGGUUGGUUUAGGUUGUAGUAGUUGUUUAGGGUGCUUAGUUUGUUUCAAGUUAACGUCUUUAGUUAGUCUGUUAAGUAGAAUCUUGACCUUCAUUAGGGGGAGUCUCUUCAGAUGGUUUGAGUUUUGCUUCUGGGUUGUGUGGAUGCGGUUGGAGCGGUCCUUUCUUUUGGUUUGUGGUUGCAGAGAAGAUGUUUGUAAUUCCGGAUCUAAUAGAUCCACGGUGCGACUCGAGAAUAAUGUAUCUUUUUUGCUUGAUCCUUCCCUUGGUAUGUUACCGUUCAUGUGCAUCUCCUCGUCUUGAAGCCGUUAGUGUUGUGUGGCUGUGAUUGCAGAGAAGAUGUUUGUAAUUCCGGAUCUAAUAGAUCCACGGUGCGACUCGAGAAUAAUGUAUCUUUUUUGCUUGAUCCUUCCCUUGGUAUGUUACCGUUCAUGUGCAUCUCCUCGUCUUGAAGCCGUUAGUGUUGUGUGGCUGUGAUUGCGUUACCCGCCUAGCCUUUACCUUUCCACUCACCCAUGGUCUCCUCAUCCAUCCUUUGACUCUCAAAAGGCUUGUUCCCUUUCUAAGCAUAGGCUUCGUUUUGUUUGAAGAAUGUGUUAGUCUUGUUUGUGAGCAGUUCGUAUCUUCUCAUGGUUGUUGCUCGCUGUGGUUGCUAGCUUUCUCGUUCAAUCGGCGAGAUGUUAGGCCUCUCUCCUUGUCUAUGCUUUGCAGAUCUUGUUUGGUCUGAUUGCGUUUUAAAGGCUUUUGUCUAGACGGUUUUGGACGGUGUAGUCGUCAUCGUCGCAUCCGAAAGCGUAUUCGAGUCUUGCUUGCCGGGUUAUGAAGUCUUUGGUUCUUGUGUCGAGAGAUCGUCUCUCAUCUUGAUAGGACGUGGUUGAUGUUAUUUUUGGAUUGGCCGUGGACAUCCUUCAUAAAUCUCUUCUUCAGGAGCUUCAGUAGAAGAUUUCUGCUUCUUAAGCUAAUGUGUUCUCUUAGGAUUAAGCCUAGUUGUCUAUGUCUUUUGUUUACGGGUUCGUCUUUUUCGGGUUCUGCUUUGUGUUGCUAUCUUUUGUUUUCGCUUUAUGUUUUUUGGGGAUUUCUAAUCGUUCAUCGUCUUUGUUUCCCUUGUUUGGGCUUUAGACUCCAGGGAUAUCUUCGUUUUCCGCUGGCUUAAGUUGUAUUCCACAAUGUAUCCUUCGAGUUUUAUUAAUACUACCAGGUGACAAAAAAAAAAAAAAAUCGUGUAUGUGAUAUAUUGUUUAGUUGUUCUUUAAAAAAAACAGAAACAUACGAAUCUAAUCCAUUUAACUUUAGAGAAUAUAUACAAACUUACAAUAAAUCUUAAUAAUAUUUUAUAAUAAAACUUACUCUUCUUAUUAUACAUUGUGUUUUAUUUGUUUAAAAAAAAAAAAAAAAUUGAAGACAUGUUUUGUUUCUUUACUAGUUACAUAAUAUUCUAAUCAUGUUUCUAUCUCUCCUCUGCCCUCAUGAUUUCUUGCUUGUAUUAUUUAGCUGUGUGACUCUCCAAAUCAUCGAAGCUUUAAGGCUUAACAGAUAUGAACAAGUACCAAACUGAAAGUAGAUAGAGAAAUUACACUCUUAUUUAAAGCAGCUAGAAACCAUACAUGAAGAUGCAGUUCCAGAACAGUUUGCUGUGAAGAUCAAGAAGCUGCAUCUGUUUAGCCGCCUGAGACCAUAUCAGACGCCUGGGAUCACAUCAGACACUUGAAGUUGCUGACAUGGAAUCGUGAGAUGAUGUGGCGAAACUUAAGUGGAUGUGGUGAUGUGCUAAGGAUGAUUUCUUGCUUGGCAGCAAAGAUAGAGACGAAGUUUGUGUGAAGAUUAUGUGAAUAUUCUUCACGUCAAAUAAGGAAAGGAUGAGCUUGACAAGCAAGCAUAUUUCGAUUGUGUGAGAUUCUCGAAGAUCCUAGGGUUAGGAUUUUGGAUAGUUAGUAUAAAUAGUCUAGGAUUGGCCACGAGCCACUUUGAAAACUUUAGACUCUUUGUGCGGAUUGUAAACUUCGAAUCUAGCAAAAUCAAAAGCUUAGAAGGUGAGUGUUUGUUUCUCUUAGUACUACACGGGUGUAGAGGAGAUAGGCUUAGUUCUUGUUCUUUAGUCGGGUUUAAUCCUAUUGGUAGGAAUAGGUUGAGUAAGAGCCGAGACAAAAUUUGUUUCCUAGGAAAAGAUAAAUUUUAUUAAUAAAGAUCGAAAGGAAAAGUGUUUGCUUGGCGCGUUCCAAGCGUACUUGUUUUGUUUGUGUUGUGUCUCUAUACAUUUUCAAUACAGUCCACAGAACAUGCUAUGAUGUUGCCUCUCUUAAAUAUUAUCCUUUGACAACGUUUCUUGCAAGAAACGCAGAAUGGUCGAGAGAUGUUACAUUUGCUAAGAAUUUGAAUAUACCCUCAAUAGUCGAAAUAUUGACCGGGCUUCAUAUAUGGGUCUUCUCCGAGUACGCAUUCAAUAUGAAAAGUGGUGAAGCAGUUAUCACAUCCGUAGAACACUUUUGUGCUUGUUUCGACACUCGUAGACAAAGCCACCACAAUUACGAUGACAAGCAUUGCAUGUGAAAGAAAUGAUCCUAUAUUCACUAAAGUCUUUCAAUGUAAGUGUAUGAGGAUGUAAUCCAUGUUGAAUUCUACGUGGAGCCUUAGCACAUCUUUCAUGGAGGAUGAACUCACACUCUAUACAAGAAUAGAAAUUACCUUCAUAUAUAGGAAGGAUGCAUGCUUGACAAAACCUAUUUUCGUCAUAAAGUAGGUCGACUUCGAGUCGAAGAUGAUGGUCAUGAAGAAAAUAAAGUAUCACUCCUUCUGAUAUCACACUGAACGGCCCAAGAUCUUUUGUUAUAUCAUCAUCUUCUGGUACACCCUCGAGUUCCUUUCCAUCCCACACAUCCUUCCCAGUAGCACAUAUUGGAUGGACAACAUAGUCAUUACACUUGCCGCAAAUAUAUGCACCAUAAUCACCGUUUAUAUUUCGACAAACUCCACAAGACUGUUCUCUUGAUGGAAGAGAAGGAAGGUAGGAGAUACGAUGUUGGUGACGUGAUAUCUUGAUGAUGUGUGAAAAAUUCAUACAGUCAAUAUGAGCUACAAAGUUGUAUCUGAUACAAAUGUAGGUGGGAUAAUUUUUUCUCAAUAAGCCACAAACAUUACAAGUUAAGGAAGUUUGUCUCGGGAAAAAUGUGAGAGGAUGGACAUAUUUUUUUGGUUGGUCUAUAACAAAGGGUAUUGGUUUCAUCGCACAUGUUGGAUGCAUAAAAGCCUGACAUAUGGUACAAUAAUAAACCAUAAAGUUUGCCCUUUUUCCGCAACAUAAACACUCAAUAUAGCGAGCUUGAGGGUUAUGAAAAGAAAGUUGGAGAGAGUGCUCAGGAUGAUAAGGAUGUUUGAUUUUAAGUGGAGACUGAACGCAUUCUUUAUGGAAAUUUUGAUCACAGUAUUCGCAAAAGUAAUAGUCUGUGCCAAAAUUUGAACCAUAGCAUAUGUAGCACCCACCAUUGGCGUCGAAUUCUUUAUUAUUGCACCAAAACAAAGGCUUUACAUGAUGAUCUUUAGAAUUCGUUGUUGUAGGAAAAAUGUACUCUGGAG
This 4163-nucleotide long non-coding RNA is filed under the name Capsella rubella. RNAcentral describes it as "long non-coding RNA (CRUB_LNC005172)". The record is from RNAcentral. Lineage: Eukaryota; Viridiplantae; Streptophyta; Magnoliopsida; Brassicales; Brassicaceae.